This 615-nucleotide ribosomal RNA is filed under the name Escherichia coli. Its description in RNAcentral is "partial 23S ribosomal RNA". It matches the Rfam family "Bacterial large subunit ribosomal RNA", at positions 2259 to 2868 of the family's 2925-position model. Lineage: Bacteria; Pseudomonadati; Pseudomonadota; Gammaproteobacteria; Enterobacterales; Enterobacteriaceae. The record is from RNAcentral.
UGGUGGGUAGUUUGACUGGGGCGGUCUCCUCCUAAAGAGUAACGGAGGAGCACGAAGGUUGGCUAAUCCUGGUCGGACAUCAGGAGGUUAGUGCAAUGGCAUAAGCCAGCUUGACUGCGAGCGUGACGGCGCGAGCAGGUGCGAAAGCAGGUCAUAGUGAUCCGGUGGUUCUGAAUGGAAGGGCCAUCGCUCAACGGAUAAAAGGUACUCCGGGGAUAACAGGCUGAUACCGCCCAAGAGUUCAUAUCGACGGCGGUGUUUGGCACCUCGAUGUCGGCUCAUCACAUCCUGGGGCUGAAGUAGGUCCCAAGGGUAUGGCUGUUCGCCAUUUAAAGUGGUACGCGAGCUGGGUUUAGAACGUCGUGAGACAGUUCGGUCCCUAUCUGCCGUGGGCGCUGGAGAACUGAGGGGGGCUGCUCCUAGUACGAGAGGACCGGAGUGGACGCAUCACUGGUGUUCGGGUUGUCAUGCCAAUGGCACUGCCCGGUAGCUAAAUGCGGAAGAGAUAAGUGCUGAAAGCAUCUAAGCACGAAACUUGCCCCGAGAUGAGUUCUCCCUGACUCCUUGAGAGUCCUGAAGGAACGUUGAAGACGACGACGUUGAUAGGCCGGAUGU